This is a non-coding RNA of Paramisgurnus dabryanus, 1707 nucleotides long. The record is from RefSeq and is a predicted model, not a curated record. Lineage: Eukaryota; Metazoa; Chordata; Actinopteri; Cypriniformes; Cobitidae.
UGUGUUUGGAACAUUCGAAUGUAACGUUAUAAGGUAGCAGUCUUAGGAUGGUAAAUUAUAUAAGUCAUUAAACAAAUAACUUUGUUGCACCACAUAUGCAUAGGCUAAUAGCAAAAGUAGCUAAUUAAACUAUUUUUUGUCGCAAAUAAGUUGAUAAUGCAAGAUACAGGGAAAUGCAAGAUUUUCAGUAGCGAUAUGUUACCUAUAUUACACUAGCUCGCAACAAUUAAGCCUCUUUUAGCCAACAUGAUCAGAUGAAGAACAGUGUUGCCAGAUUGGUUUGUUUUCCAGCCCAGUAAUUACUUAAAAUCCACACAAAAUUAUACAAUAAACUCCCAGAAUGAUCUAUAAUAAACAAUACAACUUAAUUCAUACCAGCACUACUUUUGUGGCUUGUCAUGUUUUAAUAUGAAAUAAUAAAUAAUUUAAGUGCUCUUUCAGAUAUUAUAUAGGAGCCUACGAUAGACACUGCGAAUGUAAAAUUAUUUUCCAUUUCUGUACUUUCCCUUAAAAUAGCAAAAUUUCACCUGCCCAAGCCCAUUUUAAUACACAUAGUACAACCCAGAACCAACUAAAUGGGUGGAAAACAUUCUGCCUGACAAGACUGAUGGAGAAUACUGGUGAAAAUGUAAUGCUCUUUAUCUCCUACAGCACACACACACACACACACACACACUGGGGGAAAUCUGUCCUUAAAAGCAAAUGCUGGUCGUAUGAUCUGUAUCCACACAUCCAUCCAGUAAAACCUUUCAUAGAAACUGCCAGUAAACAAUAAAUACGAUAAUUGUUUAUAAACAAAUAAUAUUAUGCUCAUAAAAAUAUGCCAAUUUAGCUGUUUUAUUUAUUCUGCUAUAUAUUAUUACAAAAAUGUGAUUACAGUACAGAAUAUAUAUGACAUAAACUGCUUCACGUUCACAAGGUCACGUUCUUUCUGAUCCCAUUUUUAAACCCUAGUUAGUGUGUAAUGUUGCUUUCAUAGCAUAAAUAAUACCUGUAAAAUGAUAAAGCUGAAAGUUCACUGCCAGUCGAUUUAUUUUCUUUAACAGAAUUUGCCUUUCAAAGCCUACAGCGAACGGCCGGUUUGGACUUCAGCCCUCUACUUUCUGCUUUAAUGAUGUCACUAGAACAGUUUUUUGACUAAACUCCGCCCACAGGAAUACAUCAGUGGCCAGCUAAGCUAACGGUGCGAGCCAAGCCAAUUUUAUUUAUUGGGAAACAGGAUAAAAAGGCUUCGAAUAAGUGGGUUGCAUAUAUUAUUACCCAUUGGCACCCCACUCCUGUCACUACAAUUUUUUGGAGGAGAUGCGGAGGGCUUUAUCUUGACAAAAGCAACCUCCACAGGACAGCAGCCUGAGAGCCUUGCCAUGGAGCGGCCUGAGAGCCCUGCUGUGAAAUGGCCGGAGAACCUCACCAAGAAGUCUAAGGUUGCUGAAAAUGUAGAUGGCAGAAGGUUUCCUUUUCGAUAAAAUAACUGAGGAACAGAUAAAUGAGAGGAAAGCCGAAUUGAAAGUUCACUGGUUACGUGCUCUGUGUGUGGAAAAACCUGGGAUGACACAUAGGAGCCUGCCAGCAAAUUCCAACACAAGUCCCCACAUCCCAACCAGUUUUCAGCAUGACAGCCUACACCUUUACAUUAUCAAGCACCCUUCAACUGUUUAAUUUUGAGUGUCUUUGCUUGCUGUUCUUUAUUAAAGUUUUUGCACAGUA